CAACGAGCGCAACCCCUGCCCCGUGUUGCCAGCAUUCAGUUGGGGACUCGCGGGGGACUGCCGGCGUCAAGCCGGAGGAAGGUGGGGACGACGUCAAGUCAUCAUGCCCCUUAUGCCCUGGGCCGCACACGUGCUACAAUGGCCGGUACAGAGGGUUGCGACCCCGCGAGGGGGAGCGGAUCCCGCAAAGCCGGCCCCAGUUCGGAUCGGAGGCUGCAACCCGCCUCCGUGAAGCCGGAGUUGCUAGUAAUCGCGGAUCAGCACGCCGCGGUGAAUACGUUCCCGGGCCUUGUACACACCGCCCGUCACACCACCCGAGUCGUCUGCACCCGAAGCCGCCGGCCGAACCCUUUUAGGGGCGGAGGCGUCGAAGGUGUGGAGGGUGAGGGGGGUGAAGUCGUAACAAGGUAGCCGUACCGGAAGGUGCGGCUGGAUCACCUCCUUUCUAGGGAG
This 453-nucleotide ribosomal RNA is filed under the name Senegalimassilia anaerobia. Its description in RNAcentral is "bacterial SSU rRNA". It matches the Rfam family "Bacterial small subunit ribosomal RNA", at positions 1090 to 1533 of the family's 1533-position model. The record is from RNAcentral. Lineage: Bacteria; Bacillati; Actinomycetota; Coriobacteriia; Coriobacteriales; Coriobacteriaceae.